Molecule: long non-coding RNA, 917 nt
Filed under: Homo sapiens (human)
Lineage: Eukaryota; Metazoa; Chordata; Mammalia; Primates; Hominidae
Description: non-protein coding lnc-UCK2-3:3
Source: RNAcentral
AGGAUCUGAAGAAAUCUUGCAAGCUGAAGCCUGACAGUUUGGUGCAAACCUCCGAGGGCUCACCACUUCAGUAGAACAUGCGAUGGUUCAGGUGGUUUUACAGGAACAACACUAACAAAGUCCUCUGGAGACCCUUUCUUGGAUCCCGCUCCACCUUCUCAGGAGGUUUAUGAUCACCUCGGAGUUGUUCAGCAAUGAGACACUUGCCUUGAACAAAAAGGGAGGCUAACUACAGAGGACCACCCUGCCCUUGCAUAUUCCAAGACAGACUCAUCUCCAUCCUUGCGCGUGACUCCCGUAGGACUCGCAGAUGGCUCCGUUAGUGACCUGCUUGCAUAAAACCCUCGGUCCCCUUCCUUUUCUUUGAGGAAGUUCUCAUUAACGAUCAUUCUCCUUAUAAUAGCCUGAAUAAAAUCAUAUAUUUAAGGUUUCAAGGACGUAGAAGAGCUCCUUUUGAAAACUAUGUUGCAGCCUGGAGGAGAAAGGUGGUACACUUGGUAUAGGCCGGUUGGUCCCCUGAACUUCUCCUAGAGACUCUUCCUGGCAGAGCCUGAAUGUAAGGAAACUGUCAGCCAUCAAAAAAGGCAGUGAAGUCAAUUAAAAAUCAAGUGUAAACUCAUGCCUUCUCUGGUUCUUCUCAUGCAUGCUAUUUACAUCUUACCACCUGCACUGUAAACUCCAAGUGGGCAGGGAUGGGCCCUACAUUUGUUCGGUGUCACAGGCUGCCUCUCUUUCACUUCUCUGUGUUCAAUAUGUAUUUAGUAUUUUAUUCAAUGAAUGGAAAGAUGAAAUUAUUUUUAUAUUUUCUGUAGUACGAACUCAGGAGUAUACCUUCUCCUAGGUCUGAAAAGCAGACAGACAAAAUGUGGCUUAAAUAAUAAAACCUAUUCCUAGCUGGUCUAGUCGCGCUAAUCCAG